GACUUAGUGGUCUAGCGGUUAUGAUAUCUGUCUAACAUGAAAGACAUAUUGAAAAUGUUCAUGUCCACAGAUGGUUCCAGGUUCAAUUCCUGGCUAAGUCA
Non-coding RNA from Phellopilus nigrolimitatus, 101 nucleotides. The record is from the annotation of a GenBank genome assembly. NCBI's taxonomy places the organism in Eukaryota, Fungi, Basidiomycota, Agaricomycetes, Hymenochaetales, Hymenochaetaceae.